CCAAUAGCGUAUAUUAAAGUUGUUGCAGUUAAAAAGCUCGUAGUUGAAUUUCGGGAUCAAUUAAUUGGUCGUGCCUCUGGUACGUACUGAUUUUAUUGGUUUCUCCCUUCUGACGAACCAUGAUGUCAUUAAUUUGGUGUCGUGGAGAAUCAGGACUGUUACUUUGAAAAAAUUAGAGUGUUUAAAGCAAGCUAACGCUUGAAUACAUUAGCAUGGAAUAAUGAAAUAGGACGUUUGAUCCUAUUUUGUUGGUUUCUAGGAUCGACGUAAUGAUUAAUAGUGAUAGUUGGGGGCAUUAGUAUUCAAUUGUCAGAGGUGAAAUUCUUGGAUUUAUUGAAGACUAACUACUGCGAAAGCAUUUGCCAAGGAUGUUUUCAUUAAUCAAGAACGAAAGUUAGGGGAUCGAAGACGAUCAGAUACCGUCGUAGUCUUAACCAUAAACUAUGCCGACUAGGGAUCGGAUGAUGUUAAUUUUUUAAUGACUCAUUCGGCGCCUUACG
Molecule: ribosomal RNA, 500 nt
Filed under: uncultured Glomeromycotina
Lineage: Eukaryota; Fungi; Glomeromycota
Description: partial small subunit ribosomal RNA
Rfam family: Eukaryotic small subunit ribosomal RNA
Source: RNAcentral